GUUAAAAUGGCCAGCGUGAGGAAUUAUUAAUUAAAGCUAACAAAUCACCCUGACGAGCUGUGCCCUGGCAUGGCUGAAGGUUGAUUGGCGAAAGUGUUCUCCUUUGGAGAAAAGACUUUUUGUGCUCGUGACGCAGUCAGGGACGGAUUAUUGAAUAUGCAAGUUAGAAGAAAAAUCACAGGACAAGCAAAUUGAGUAUUUACUGGCAAAUAAUUGCUCUCUUAAGCUGUGGCUCUCUUCCUAAAUUCUUAACAUUCCCGAGGGUUAGAAAGAAACACAGAAAAAUGCAUCGGUACAGAGUACAUUUCAAAAAAAAUACAUAGACUGAUGUUUCAGACUUGUGCAGAAUGUAUCGCCAUCACUAACUGGAUAUUCCUCACAACUUUGCUGUCCGCAGUGGCUGGCACUUUUCCUCCACGCUUUGAGAGAAAGAGAAUUGGCUGGAAUAAAACCUUGCCUUCCAUAUGGUCGACUUGAAAUACAGCAUUGAAAAGACUGUCCCCCUGGAGGUUCCCAUAUAUCUGAAGUGGCUUCUCU
RNAcentral lists this long non-coding RNA (537 nucleotides) under Ursus maritimus (polar bear). RNAcentral's name for it is "lncRNA (ENSUMAG00000025335.1)". Lineage: Eukaryota; Metazoa; Chordata; Mammalia; Carnivora; Ursidae. The record is from RNAcentral.